AGGAUUAACGCUGGCGGCGUGCCUAACACAUGCAAGUCGAACGAGGUAGCAAUACCUAGUGGCAGACGGGUGAGUAACGCGUGGUCAACCUACCGUUGAGUGGGGGAUAACUAGCCGAAAGGUUAGCUAAUACCGCAUACGAGUCUCGGGGGCAUCCCUGAGCCUUAAAAGGAGCAAUCCGCUCGAUGACGGGACCGCGUCCCAUUAGCUAGAUGGUGGGGUAACGGCCUACCAUGGCACCGAUGGGUAGCUGGUUUGAGAGAGCGACCAGCCACACUGGGACUGAGAAAACGGCCCAGACUCCUACGGGAGGCAGCAGUGAGGAAUUUUCCGCAAUGGGCGAAAGCCUGACGGAGCGACGCCGCGUGUGGGAAGAAGGCCUUCGGGUCGUAAACCACUGUCGAAGGGACGAUAAUGACGGUACCCUUGGAGGAAGCCCGGCUAACUACGUGCCAGCAGCCGC
This 463-nucleotide ribosomal RNA is filed under the name uncultured bacterium. RNAcentral's name for it is "SSU rRNA". It matches the Rfam family "Bacterial small subunit ribosomal RNA", at positions 26 to 518 of the family's 1533-position model. The record is from RNAcentral.